GGGCGCCGCAAGUACAACGGGGCUAAGCUUAAUACCGAAUUUUUGGAUUCAUAAUUUAAUAAUUUUGAAUGGUAGACAAAUGUUGUAUAAGGAUUGAAGUUUUAGCGUGAGCAGAGAUGGACUUUAUACAAGUAAGAAUUCCGGCGUGAGUAACGAAUGAAAGUGAGAAUCUUUUUAGCCGAUUGAUCAAGGUUUCCGGGGCUAGGGUCGUCCUCCUCGGGUUAGUCGAUCCUAAGGCGAGGCCGAAAGGCGUAGUUGAUGGACAACAGGUUAAUAUUCCUGUACUCCCUUCAGUAUUCGAUGGGUAGACAAAAUAGGUUAAGGUAAGAGGAUUAUUGGAUUUCCUUUCAAGAAUCCGAGCAAGUCAGUGUUGAAAAUCACGCUGACAACAUUGUGAGGUUCGAGUACAAUCCUCGCUGGCGACAGCGGGGAAAGUUAUUCUUAAUCAUGUUUUCAAGAAAAUACUCUAAGAUUAUCUACUUUUGGGAAUCGUACCGAUAACGAACACACGUGAUCAAGGAGAAUAUCCUAWGGCUAGCGGCUAACUACAGUUAAGGAACUCUGCAAAUUAACUCUGUAACUUCG
Molecule: ribosomal RNA, 585 nt
Filed under: uncultured Mycoplasma sp.
Lineage: Bacteria; Bacillati; Mycoplasmatota; Mollicutes; Mycoplasmatales; Mycoplasmataceae
Description: partial 23S ribosomal RNA
Source: RNAcentral